GGGGAAUCUUAGACAAUGGGGGAAACCCUGAUCUAGCCAUGCCGCGUGAGCGAUGAAGGCCUUAGGGUUGUAAAGCUCUUUCAGCUGGGAAGAUAAUGACGGUACCAGCAGAAGAAGCCCCGGCUAACUCCGUGCCAGCAGCCGCGGUAAUACGGAGGGGGCUAGCGUUGUUCGGAAUUACUGGGCGUAAAGCGCACGUAGGCGGACUGGAAAGUUGGGGGUGAAAUCCCGGGGCUCAACCCCGGAACUGCCUUCAAAACUCCCAGUCUGGAGUUCGAGAGAGGUGAGUGGAAUUCCGAGUGUAGAGGUGAAAUUCGUAGAUAUUCGGAGGAACACCAGUGGCGAAGGCGGCUCACUGGCUCGAUACUGACGCUGAGGUGCGAAAGCGUGGGGAGCAAAC
Molecule: ribosomal RNA, 400 nt
Filed under: uncultured bacterium
Lineage: Bacteria
Description: bacterial SSU rRNA
Rfam family: Bacterial small subunit ribosomal RNA
Source: RNAcentral